Molecule: ribosomal RNA, 253 nt
Filed under: uncultured bacterium
Lineage: Bacteria
Description: partial 16S ribosomal RNA
Rfam family: Bacterial small subunit ribosomal RNA
Source: RNAcentral
UACGUAGGGGGCAAGCGUUGUCCGGAUUUAUUGGGCGUAAAGAGCGUGUAGGCGGCCGCACAGGUCCGUUGUGAAAACUGGAGGCUUACCCUUCAGACGUCGAUGGAAACCGUGCGGCUAGAGUCCGGAAGAGGAGAAUGGAAUUCCUGGUGUAGCGGUGAAAUGCGCAGAUAUCAGGAAGAACACCCGUGGCUAAGGCGGUUCUCUAGUACGGUACUGACGCUGAGACGCGAAAGCGUGGGGAGCGAACAGG